This 404-nucleotide ribosomal RNA is filed under the name uncultured bacterium. RNAcentral's name for it is "bacterial SSU rRNA". It matches the Rfam family "Bacterial small subunit ribosomal RNA", at positions 355 to 776 of the family's 1533-position model. The record is from RNAcentral.
UGGGGAAUAUUGCACAAUGGGGGAAACCCUGAUGCAGCAACGCCGCGUGAGUGAAGAAGUAUUUCGGUAUGUAAAGCUCUAUCAGCAGGGAAGAAGAUGACGGUACCUGAGUAAGAAGCCCCGGCUAACUACGUGCCAGCAGCCGCGGUAAUACGUAGGGGGCAAGCGUUAUCCGGAUUUACUGGGUGUAAAGGGAGCGUAGACGGUGAGACAAGUCUGAAGUGAAAGCCCGGGGCUCAACCCCGGGACUGCUUUGGAAACUGCCUGACUGGAGUGCUGGAGAGGCAAGCGGAAUUCCUAGUGUAGCGGUGAAAUGCGUAGAUAUUAGGAAGAACACCAGUGGCGAAGGCGGCUUGCUGGACAGUAACUGACGUUGAGGCUCGAAAGCGUGGGGAGCAAACAGG